RNAcentral lists this ribosomal RNA (373 nucleotides) under uncultured organism. RNAcentral describes it as "partial 16S ribosomal RNA". It matches the Rfam family "Bacterial small subunit ribosomal RNA", at positions 527 to 896 of the family's 1533-position model. The record is from RNAcentral.
GUAGGUGGCAAGCGUUGUCCGGAAUUAUUGGGCGUAAAGCGCGCGCAGGCGGUCCUUUAAGUCUGAUGUGAAAGCCCACGGCUCAACCGUGGAGGGUCAUUGGAAACUGGAGGACUUGAGUACAGAAGAGGAAAGCGGAAUUCCACGUGUAGCGGUGAAAUGCGUAGAGAUGUGGAGGAACACCAGUGGCGAAGGCGGCUUUCUGGUCUGUAACUGACGCUGAGGCGCGAAAGCGUGGGGAGCAAACAGGGAUUAGAUACCCUGGUAGUCCACGCCGUAAACGAUGAGUGCUAAGUGUUAGGGGGUUUCCGCCCCCUUAGUGCUGCAGCUAACGCAUUAAGCACUCCGCCUGGGGAGUACGGCCGCAAGGCUG